Molecule: ribosomal RNA, 492 nt
Filed under: uncultured bacterium
Lineage: Bacteria
Description: partial 16S ribosomal RNA
Rfam family: Bacterial small subunit ribosomal RNA
Source: RNAcentral
AGUGAACGCUGGCGGUAGGCUUAACACAUGCAAGUCGAACGGCAGCACAGUAAGAGCUUGCUGUUAUGGGGGGCGAGUGGCGGACGGGAGAGGAAUACAUCGGAAUCUACUUUUUCGUGGGGGAUAACGUAGGGAAACUUACGCUAAUACCGCAUACGACCUACGGGUGAAAGGAGGGGAUCUUCGGACCUUGCGCGGUUGAAUGAGCCGAUGUUGGAUUAGCUAGUUGGCGGGUUAAAGGCCCACCAAGGCGACGAUCCGUAGCUGGUCUGAGAGGAUGAUCAGCCACACUGGAAGUGAGACACGGUCCAGACUCCUACGGGAGGCAGCAGUGUGGAAUAUUGGACAGUGGGCGCAAGCCUGAUCCAGCCAUACCGAGUGUGUGAAGAAGGCCUUCGGGUUGUAAAGCCGUUUUGUUGGUAAAGAAAAGCAGCAGGUUAAUACCCCGCUGUACUGACGGUAAUCAAAGAAUAAGCACCGGCUAACUUCGUG